GAAAUAUAAGAACCCGUCUCUUAACUUUUAACUAAAAAAACUAAGAACCGGUUCUUAAAUAUUUAAGAACCGGUUCUUAGUUUUUUUAGUUAAAAGUUAAGAGACGGGUUCUUAUAUUNN
RNAcentral lists this microRNA precursor (120 nucleotides) under Brassica oleracea var. oleracea. Its description in RNAcentral is "MIR9563 microRNA precursor family". It matches the Rfam family "MIR9563 microRNA precursor family". Lineage: Eukaryota; Viridiplantae; Streptophyta; Magnoliopsida; Brassicales; Brassicaceae. The record is from Rfam by way of RNAcentral.